This 1354-nucleotide long non-coding RNA is filed under the name Phasianus colchicus (ring-necked pheasant). RNAcentral's name for it is "lncRNA (ENSPCLG00000020578.1)". The record is from RNAcentral. Lineage: Eukaryota; Metazoa; Chordata; Aves; Galliformes; Phasianidae.
AUUUUUUUAAUCUUCAUUAUGCUUUUUCAGCAUUAUGUUGGAAUGGGUAGAGAAAGAGAGAAAAUUAAUUUGCUGGAUGUUUAUGUUGGAGAAAUUGAGAUUACCUUUCUGUCAGCCUGCUGAAAUAUCGUAAGAAUCAAAACUGGAACUUCAAAGGGAAUAAGGAAGUAUAUCAUCCUCCCAUAUUACAGACAUGGGCUAAAAUCGAAGGAAAUGAAGAGCUGAAGAGCACAAUGUGGAAUGAAGCAAGUCUCGCAAAGAUUGCAGUGUGGGAAUUUUCUUUUUGGAUGAUCAGAGAGGGACAGGACAGAAUGAUAACACCUGGUGCAUCCUGAAAAUUAGGCCUCUUUGAAGUGUUCCUGCAUGUGCAACCAGAAGAAAGAGGCACACAAAAUCAUGGGUCAAAUAUUUCAGACAGUUACUAAGAAGCAGCAUGACAGCUACAAGAAAAUAAGCAAAAUGAAGGAGCAUGUGAACUGGGAGUACAUCAAGAUGCCACAAACAAUGCUAGAUCUUCAUGUGAUGCUAGUUUGCUAUUUGCAGUCAUGCAGCAUAAACCACACCAGUCUCUGUGUUCAAAAGAAAGUAAAACUACCAAUGUGAUGAGAGAUAUUGGCUUCCAGGUAAAAAUAACGAGUUCAUGUGGAUGUUGGCAAGCUCUGUGAGACAGAGAUGAUCUGUAGUAUGACUUGAUGAACACUCCUAAAAUGGGACAGUAAGCUUCUAUUCCAAAAUGAUCAGUGUAUAAAGCUAUCUAUCACCUUGUAAUAUGAAAUAUAUUAAAAAGGUUGACUAUGGUUACAAAGACAAAAAGAUGAAAAACAAAAUUCGUCCAACAAUUAUGAUUGUUUAGGUCUUUUGCUUUUCGAUUUUUUACUGCCUUGUUUAAGUUUCCUGCAUGCACACAAAUAUGAAGAAAAGAAGCCUUUCCCAGAUCUCAUAUAAGCUUUUCCUUCUUGCCUAUUUAGAGCCAAGCAUGCCUUAUCCUUCAAUUACUGCUAGCUCCUAGCCAUGUCAUCUACUUCUGAAAUAUUCAUUUGCUGCCAUCUUUGCUGCCAUCAUUUCAGUGAUUGCUGUACACCUUUGCUGGAUUUGAUGCUAGCCUUUAGUCAGUGCUGAGGUCCUUUCUAAUCUUCUAAUCUAAUACAGAAAAUGUUCUAUUGUGUGUCUUUGAAAAAUAUGUAUAUAUAAAGAGUAGCUUCUGUGCUCAGCUUCUUUGCAGUCUUACACCUUCCUCCUGAGUCAGCUACUGUGCUUGUUUGCUCCAUCAUUAUCCUGGCUGAAAAAUGUCAGAGUGAUGGAGUACCUACGAGCAGUUUCCCAGUGAAAAAAUAAAGGAUUUGCUGAGUGAGCA